Odocoileus virginianus texanus is the source of this 1004-nucleotide long non-coding RNA. RefSeq lists it as uncharacterized. The record is from RefSeq and is a predicted model, not a curated record. Lineage: Eukaryota; Metazoa; Chordata; Mammalia; Artiodactyla; Cervidae.
AGAGUUGGACGUGACUGAGUGAUUAAACUGAUGCAUCUGCAUUAUUACAAAAAAGAAAGAACUUUCUGAAUAAAGGAUAGUCCCGCCCAUGAAAUGAAAGUGGAUGACUAUAUCAACAGGUACAUUUUUUUUCUGCCUCUUUUUUUCCCAUUUCAAUGCAGACAUUGAAACUUUACUUCUGAGUCUGGCUACCUGACCAGAGUGCAUUCAGGAAUCACUGGACUAUUUUACACUUUUCCAGGGGCAAAAGUAUAGAUCAUGUUCGAUCAAAUCAUUAACAAUUUUCUCCAACAUGCUCAACUCAAUGUGCUCAACUAACUAGAGAUGGUUUUCUCUUAUUCUACCUUUAAUACAGAAAGAAAAUAUACAGCUCAGAGAGACAGUGGCAAAGGAAUAUGGAAGAGAGCACCAGAAUAAAAACAGAGGGCCUGAAUUAGCCUUUCCAGCUAUAAGGUUCUCAGUGCAGUCCACAUCCCAUCAUUCAAGUUAGCAAGUCAAAAACAUCUUAAAGGCAGUUGAGAAGAUCAGCCUGUGCCACACAUCUAAUGAUAACCUUUAAUAAAGAGUCUAUGAUGGCUCCUGACUCUGCUUCCUAAAGAUCAUCAAUUAUGAUGAUCUAAAAUAACAACUCCAAGUUCAGUUUAUUUGUAGUUUGUAGUAUCUCAAUCUAUGGCAAGGCAAAGAGAUUACUGUUCACCAAGUAUUCCCUAUGUUCCCCUAUAUUUCAUAGCCUUCCUUUCAGUUUGGUUAGAUCAUGUGGCUAGUUUCAGCCAAUGGACUCUGAGCAGAAGUGGUAUGUAUUACUUCUGGGUCAAGGAAGUUAAGAACCAGGAUAGUGGUUCUCCAUGCCUCUCUUUCCUUGCUGAAGCAUCUCAGAAGCCAUGUGUUACAGACGAGAAGCUACAAGUCGGCAGAGUCACUAUCAGCCUGGACCCCUGAGUAACUAAAUGGAGAAGACUCCCCAAAUCCCACAAUUGGUUUUAAUGUGUAACAGGAGAAAUAAA